CGCGCCGCUAGGACCCCAUCGGCCUCCAGCUUCGCGCCCUGGGGCCGCGCGGCUGCGGGGGCGGGCAGGCGCUAUCCCUGGCCCCUGCUCGCCCGGCCGCCCUGGCACCGAGGCGGCUACCGGAGCGCGCUCGGCGGCUGCGUUCCGAGGCGCCAGCUGCCAUGAUUGCGGGCAGCGGGGCGCGCGCGCAGGCUCGGGCCCGGCUCGGAGACCCCAGGCGGACCGACGGUCCCUGGCCUGUGCGCAGACCCGUGCGCGCCGCGGACAGCGGCUAGGGUCGCCGGGCUCGGUACUGCAGGGGCCAGCGUGUGCCCCGGAGCUCUAGACGAGGUCCUGGGACAGAGCUUGGGGUCGACGGCGGCGGCGGGCUUCCCCCAGGGCAGGGUGCGCACCAGGGCGACCCCGCGGCGGCUUUGCGGACAGCGCCCGUCCGGCAGAGGGAGGGGCGCGGUGCCAGAAACAACUUCCUGCUCCCCUGGCCCAGGGCGUACGUAGGAGCUGCGGGGAGAAGUUCUAGGCCGCAGCUUCGCUCUCUCAGAGCCGAUUACACUGCAACACCCCGGGGCCGCGCGAUUCCUUCCCGCGCCCCCUCCCGGGGGGUCUCGACAGGCCGGGCUCCAGGGUCCCGACCCUGGUUAUAACACCAAGGAGGCCGCAGCAGCUUUAUCCUGCCGCCUCGGCGGUGGCGCCUGAGUGCUUUCCCCGCAGAGAGGCAGGCCUGGGCCUCUGGCGCUCGGGGACAACACCGGGUCACUAUGCUCAGAACCCCUCUCCCUGUCCGGGCAUGAACCUCUCUUAGAGCCAGAUGGACCUGGCUGUCCCCGGACGCCCGCGACGGGGGCCCAAAGGGAACAAGGCCUCCUGGGCCCCAUCCCAAUGUCUCUCUGUGCCUGUCUCCCCCCCCCCCCCCCCCCAGCCGGCCUUGGCAUUCUAACCAGUGUCCCUUGACGUCACAUCUCGCCAUUUCUGUCAACCAAUUGAAACUUGCUCGUUGUCAUAAAAAUAUAUAUACUUUUUAUGCCAUUGGUACAUUCAAAAA
Long non-coding RNA from Ailuropoda melanoleuca (giant panda), 1039 nucleotides. RefSeq lists it as uncharacterized. The record is from RefSeq and is a predicted model, not a curated record. Lineage: Eukaryota; Metazoa; Chordata; Mammalia; Carnivora; Ursidae. The transcript is spliced from 2 exons.